ACCUGGUUGUAACCUGGUAAUAACUAGGUUAUAACCUGGUUAUAUCCUGAGACAUUACCUGGUUAUAACCUGGUUAUUACCAGGUUAUAACUAGGA
Xyrichtys novacula (pearly razorfish) is the source of this 96-nucleotide non-coding RNA. NCBI's taxonomy places the organism in Eukaryota, Metazoa, Chordata, Actinopteri, Labriformes, Labridae. The record is from the annotation of a GenBank genome assembly.